UACGGAGGGUGCAAGCGUUAUCCGGAUUUACUGGGUUUAAAGGGUGCGUAGGUGGGUCUGUAAGUCAGUGGUGAAAUCUUCGAGCUUAACUCGGAAACUGCCAUUGAUACUAUAGGUCUUGAAUUAUCUGGAGGUAAGCGGAAUAUGUCAUGUAGCGGUGAAAUGCUUAGAUAUGACAUAGAACACCAAUUGCGAAGGCAGCUUACUACGGAUUGAUUGACACUGAGGCACGAAAGCGUGGGGAUCAAACAGG
RNAcentral lists this ribosomal RNA (253 nucleotides) under uncultured bacterium. RNAcentral's name for it is "partial 16S ribosomal RNA". It matches the Rfam family "Bacterial small subunit ribosomal RNA", at positions 524 to 776 of the family's 1533-position model. The record is from RNAcentral.